AUACGUAGGGGGCGAGCGUUGUCCGGAAUGAUUGGGCGUAAAGGGCGCGUAGGCGGCGCGGUAAGUCUGGAGUGAAAGUCCUGCUUUCAAGGUGGGAAUUGCUUUGGAUACUGCCGCGCUUGAGUGCAGGAGAGGUUAUCGGAAUUCCCGGUGUAGCGGUGAAAUGCGUAGAGAUCGGGAGGAACACCAGUGGCGAAGGCGACUUACUGGACUGUAACUGACGCUGAGGCGCGAAAGUGUGGGGAGCAAACAGGAUUAGAUACCCUGGUAGUCCACACGGUAAACGAUGAAUGCUAGGUGUAGGGGGUAUCGACCCCUUCUGUGCCGCAGUCAACACAAUAAGCAUUCCGCCUGGGGAGUACGGCCGCAAGGUUGAAACUCAAAUGAAUUGACGGGG
Molecule: ribosomal RNA, 397 nt
Filed under: uncultured bacterium
Lineage: Bacteria
Description: partial 16S ribosomal RNA
Rfam family: Bacterial small subunit ribosomal RNA
Source: RNAcentral